UCCCCGGGCUCAACCUGGGAACUGCAUUCGAAACUGGCAGGCUUGAGUCUUGUAGAGGGGGGUAGAAUUCCAGGUGUAGCGGUGAAAUGCGUAGAGAUCUGGAGGAAUACCGGUGGCGAAGGCGGCCCCCUGGACAAAGACUGACGCUCAGGUGCGAAAGCGUGGGGAGCAAACAGGAAUAGAUACCCUGGUAGUCCACGCUGUAAACGAUGUCGACUUGGAGGUUGUGCCCUUGAGGCGUGGCUUCCGGAGCUAACGCGUUAAGUCGACCGCCUGGGGAGUACGGCCGCAAGGUUAAAACUCAAAUGAAUUGACGGGGGCCCGCACAAGCGGUGGAGCAUGUGGUUUAAUUCGAUGCAACGCGAAGAACCUUACCUACUCUUGACAUCCAGAGAACUUAGCAGAGAUGCUUUGGUGCCUUCGGGAACUCUGAGACAGGUGCUGCAUGGCUGUCGUCAGCUCGUGUUGUGAAAUGUUGGGUUAAGUCCCGCAACGAGCGCAACCCUUAUCCUUUGUUGCCAGCGAUUCGGUCGGGAACUCAAAGGAGACUGCCAGUGAUAAACUGGAGGAAGGUGGGGAUGACGUCAAGUCAUCAUGGCCCUUACGAGUAGGGCUACACGCGUGCUACAAUGGCGCAUACAAAGAGAAGCGAACUCGCGAGAGCAAGCGGACCUCAUAAAGUGCGUCGUAGUCCGGAUCGGAGUCUGCAAC
This 711-nucleotide ribosomal RNA is filed under the name uncultured bacterium. RNAcentral describes it as "bacterial SSU rRNA". It matches the Rfam family "Bacterial small subunit ribosomal RNA", at positions 600 to 1311 of the family's 1533-position model. The record is from RNAcentral.